UACGAAGGGGGCAAGCGUUGCUCGGAAUCACUGGGCGUAAAGGGCGCGUAGGCGGGAUGGCAAGUCAGUCGUGAAAUCUCUCGGCUCAACCGAGAAACGUCGGCUGAUACUGCCGUUCUUGAGGGAUGCAGAGGAGACUGGAAUUCCCGGUGUAGCGGUGAAAUGUGUAGAGAUCGGGAGGAACACCGGUGGCGAAGGCGGGUCUCUGGGCAUCUCCUGACGCUGAGGCGCGAAAGCGUGGGGAGCAAACGGG
This 253-nucleotide ribosomal RNA is filed under the name uncultured bacterium. RNAcentral describes it as "partial 16S ribosomal RNA". It matches the Rfam family "Bacterial small subunit ribosomal RNA", at positions 524 to 776 of the family's 1533-position model. The record is from RNAcentral.